UAAAAUAAUGUGAGUGGACAACAUCAAUUAUUAUUUUAAGUCUAGAGCCGAGGGCCCGAUGCCGACUAAAUACUGUUAAUAAUAUUAAAAUUAAUUAACCUAGUAAAUUAGUUAUUAUUUGGUUUAUGAGUAAUUGGUGCGAUUGUCAGCGUAGUAGCAGCAAUGUAUGUAGUAGAACAUUUUUUUUCCAAAAUUAAAGAAUUUCAUGUAAUAUUAUAAAUGAUGACGCACGGAAUUUUGCAUGCGUCAUGUUUCAUAAUUCUUUAAAAUGUAAUGCAAGAAAUGUUCCUACUGAGAAUAUUAAUUUAAAUGUACCUAUGUUUAAUACCAACUCAUGUUCGGUACAAUGCUUUAAGAUAUUCGUUGGUAGUUUUGAACUCACUUUGAUUGAAUUACUAGCGGAAUAUUUUAAAUAGAUAUUAUGAUCUCACAAAAUACAAUGGUGUGUAGUGUAGGUACUAGUUAAGUCUACGCUGACUUUAGUUUCUAACGCCUUAAAAUAACACCCCAAUGUAACAUUUGGAAUAUACAGCAUUAAAUAAAUAGUUUUUUAAUCUCAGUAGUAUCAGAAAAAAAAGUACAGGAUUAUACCUACUUGCGUGCCAGAAUCCACGGAAAAUGUAUUCACUUUAUAUCAAUUUGAAUAAUAUUUUUUCUGUAGAUUACUAGACCCAUUUUUCAUCUCAAUAAAAUAGGUACAACGGAAUAAUAAAAAAAAAUAUUAGGUUGGCCUGUCAUCUGUGUCACUUCAUCAGUAUAUAUUUAUUUAGAGUGAUGGAUUCUCUACAAUGACACAGUGAUCGACCAAACAACAAGAAAAGAGUUUAUAGUAGGUAACAUAGAGCAUACGACUAAUUUAUAUAAAGCAAAAAGUUGGUUAUACCUAAGUAAAUGUUCGUUUAUAAUAACCACGAUACAUGUAUAAAAAUGUGCCACAAUCAAUCAAGAACUUGCCAAUUUUUGGCAAUAAAAUUCACUAACACGCCAAUAUUCAUUUCAACAAUAUACAAUUUCACGAGUUUAAAAGGAAUGCUUCAUAUCAGUGCAAGGUGUAUAAUUAGUUUCAAGC
Molecule: long non-coding RNA, 1069 nt
Organism: Cydia splendana
Lineage: Eukaryota; Metazoa; Arthropoda; Insecta; Lepidoptera; Tortricidae
Exons: 2
Source: RefSeq, a predicted model, not a curated record